RNAcentral lists this long non-coding RNA (1215 nucleotides) under Musa acuminata (dwarf banana). Its description in RNAcentral is "long non-coding RNA (MACU_LNC005898)". The record is from RNAcentral. Lineage: Eukaryota; Viridiplantae; Streptophyta; Magnoliopsida; Zingiberales; Musaceae.
AAGCUCCCGAGCACCUAUUUAAAUCACUGCUUAAAUCCAAAUAAAUAGUAGUACACUCUAUGCUCUUAUAAGUCAAUUUGAGUCUUUAUCCACUUCUAAUCAUCAAAGUUGUGAUGGGUGCACUACCAAUGAUAGUAGUGCUCCAAGUGAUGAUUGGAGCUACCAUGUGUUGGAUCAACAAUUUGAUGCUUAAUUGUCAUUUUUCUAAAAAUAUUUUUGAAAUAGAUUUAGGUUGCCAAUUAAAAGAAUUACACUUGAAUAGUGACAAAAUGACUUACAUUCUUGCAGAUCUAGACUGAAUCCAGGCGGCUCUAACCUAGAUCAUAAUAGAUCUAAGCUUGAUAUGAUCUUAGACACUUGCAACAAUCGUGGCAAAUUUCAUACUGAUCCCGCAUAGGUUCACUAUCUACGUCGAACUCUUAUGGCCUAGAUCCACAUAAAUCUAGACUAGAUCUGCAUGUAUCUAGGUUGGAUCCAUGCAAAUCUAGCUUCCUUUCAAAUAGAUUUACGCAAAAUAUGUAUGAUUCAAGUGAGGAAUUUUAGCCUUAAUCUAAGCAAAAAAUCUCUUAAACAAGGAAAUUGAUAAACCUGAUGAUAAGAUUCAAACUCGCCUUGAUUGGGAGAAAUACCAAGCUGGUUUUUAAGAAAUCCACCCAUAAAAAGAGAAAAAGCUCCAAAUCCAAGCUAUUUGAUAAAUUGGAUGCAAAAUGGAAGCAAUUUCAAGAAGGAUCCAAGUAAAAGAGAGGGAAGGUGCUGAUGUUUAAGAAAUUUAAAAAGGAAAAUAGUUCUCGUAAGGAAGAGUAGAAUAAGGUCAGAUUGGAUACUAGUACCAUAUAGCUUGAUACAGUAAAGGUACCAGGCAAUAUGUUUGGUGUGGUGAGUCUACCAUGUUGCAAACAUGAUAUGGAAUCAGACAAGUUGAUAUUGCUCAUCCCUGUGUAGAAAGGACAUGUAGAUGAUGUCAAGAGCAAGGUAUAUAGUUUCAAAUGAUAUCGCCCGUAAAACGACAAAGGUACAAGAGAAGAAAAGGAAGCAAUAUGCAUGGUACUAACGAAAACAAAAGAAAGGACAUGUAGAUGAUGUCAAGAGCAAGAUAUACAAUUUCGAAUGAUACCGCCCAAUACGGGCAGUACGUACCGAUCCGAUAGUAAAUCCAUACGUCGAGGCGACGUCACCUCGUUUUUUUGCGACGUCACCUCGGCGACAUUGCCUACC